This 560-nucleotide ribosomal RNA is filed under the name uncultured bacterium. RNAcentral's name for it is "bacterial SSU rRNA". It matches the Rfam family "Bacterial small subunit ribosomal RNA", at positions 338 to 916 of the family's 1533-position model. The record is from RNAcentral.
CCUACGGGAGGCAGCAGUGGGGAAUAUUGGACAAUGGGCGCAAGCCUGAUCCAGCCAUGCCGCGUGAGUGAUGAAGGCCUUAGGGUUGUAAAGCUCUUUUGCCAGGGAAGAUAAUGACUGUACCUGGAGAAUAAGCCCCGGCUAACUUCGUGCCAGCAGCCGCGGUAAUACGAAGGGGGCUAGCGUUGUUCGGAAUCACUGGGCGUAAAGCGCACGUAGGCGGACUUUUAAGUCAGGGGUGAAAGCCUGAGGCUCAACCUCAGAACUGCCCUUGAUACUGGGAGUCUUGAGUAUGGUAGAGGUUGGUGGAACAGCAAGUGUAGAGGUGAAAUUCGUAGAUAUUUGCUAGAACACCAGUGGCGAAGGCGGCCAACUGGACCAUAACUGACGCUGAGGUGCGAAAGCGUGGGGAGCAAACAGGAUUAGAUACCCUGGUAGUCCACGCCGUAAACGAUGGAUGCUAGCCGUUAGCCAGCUUGCUGGGUAGUGGCGCAGGUAACCCUUUAAGCAUCCCGCCUGGGGAGUACGGUCGCAAGAUUAAAACUUAAAUGAAUUGACGG